AACGAACGCUGGCGGCAGGCCUAACACAUGCAAGUCGAGCGAGGACUUCGGUCCUAGCGGCGGACGGGUGAGUAACGCGUGGGAACGUGCCCUUUGCUUCGGAAUAGCCCUGGGAAACUGGGAGUAAUACCGGAUGAGCCCUUUGGGGGAAAGAUUUAUCGGCGAAGGAUCGGCCCGCGUUGGAUUAGGUAGUUGGUGGGGUAAUGGCCUACCAGGCCGACGAUCCAUAGCUGGUUUGAGAGGAUGAUCAGCCACACUGGGACUGAGACACGGCCCAGACUCCUACGGGAAGCAGCAGUGGGGAAUCUUAGACAAUGGGGGAAACCCUGAUCUAGCCAUGCCGCGUGAGCGAUGAAGGCCUUAGGGUUGUAAAGCUCUUUCAGCUGGGAAGAUAAUGACGGUACCAGCAGAAGAAGCCCCGGCUAACUCCGUG
Molecule: ribosomal RNA, 433 nt
Filed under: uncultured bacterium
Lineage: Bacteria
Description: partial 16S ribosomal RNA
Rfam family: Bacterial small subunit ribosomal RNA
Source: RNAcentral